RNAcentral lists this ribosomal RNA (408 nucleotides) under uncultured bacterium. RNAcentral describes it as "partial 16S ribosomal RNA". It matches the Rfam family "Bacterial small subunit ribosomal RNA", at positions 28 to 526 of the family's 1533-position model. The record is from RNAcentral.
GACGAACGCUGGCGGCGUGCUUAACACAUGCAAGUCGAACGAAGUGGCGAACGGGUGAGUAACGCGUAAUCAACCUGCACUGAAGAGGGGGACAACAGUUAGAAACGACUGAUAAUACAGCAUGCUGUAGGAGGGGAUUGCGUUUGAGUAGCUAGUUGGCGGGGUAACGGCCCACGAAGGCGAUGAUCAGUAGGCGGUCUGCGAUGAUGAACGGCCAAAUCGGGACUGGGACAAGGCCCAGACCCCCACGGGAGGCAGCAGUGGGGAAGCUUCCGCAAUGGACGAAAGUCUGACGGAGCAACGCCGCGUGAGUUAUGACGGCCUUCGGGUUGUAAAGCCCUGUUAAGCGGGACGCGGUACCGGAAUAGAAAGCCACGGCUAACUACGUGCCAGCAGCCGCGGUAAUAC